GCAUAUCAAUAAGCGGAGGAAAAGAAACCAACAGGGAUUGCCUCAGUAACGGCGAGUGAAGCGGCAACAGCUCAAAUUUGAAAUCUGGCCUCACGGUCCGAGUUGUAAUUUGUAGAGGAUGUUUCGAGCAUGGUCCGGCCUAAGUGUCUUGGAACAGGACGUCAUAGAGGGUGAGAACCCCGUAUGCGGUCGGGUGCCUACGCUCAUGUGAAACUCCUUCGACGAGUCGAGUUGUUUGGGAAUGCAGCUCAAAAUGGGUGGUAAAUUUCAUCUAAAGCUAAAUAUUGGCCAGAGACCGAUAGCGCACAAGUAGAGUGAUCGAAAGAUGAAAAGCACUUUGGAAAGAGAGUUAAACAGUACGUGAAAUUGUUGAAAGGGAAGCGCUUGCAACCAGACUUGGGCGCGGCCGAUCAUCCGGUGUUCUCACCGGUGCACUCGGUCGCGUGCAGGCCAGCAUCGGUUCUGGUGGCUGGAUAAAGGCCCUAGGAAUGUGGCUCCUCUCGGGGAGUGUUAUAGCCUAGGGUGCAAUGCAGCCUACCGGGACCGAGGACCGCGCUUCGGCUAGGAUGCUGGCGUAAUGGUUGUAAGUGACCCGUCUUGAAACACGGACCAAGGAGUCUAACAUCUAUGCGAGUGUUUGGGUGUCAAACCCAUACGCGUAAUGAAAGUGAACGGAGGUGAGAACCCUUAAGGGUGCAUCAUCGACCGAUCCUGAUGUCUUCGGAUGGAUUUGAGUAUGAGCAUAGCUGUUGGGACCCGAAAGAUGGUGAACUAUGCCUGACUAGGGUGAAGCCAGAGGAAACUCUGGUGGAGGCUCGCAGCGGUUCUGACGUGCAAAUCGAUCGUCAAAUUUGGGCAUAGGGGGCGAAAGACUAAUCGAACCAUCUAGUAGCUGGUUCUGCG
Molecule: ribosomal RNA, 903 nt
Filed under: Bettsia alvei
Lineage: Eukaryota; Fungi; Ascomycota; Leotiomycetes
Description: LSU rRNA
Rfam family: Eukaryotic large subunit ribosomal RNA
Source: RNAcentral